GAGGCGGGGAAGGAACCAUCGCCUCUGCCCAUCCCAUCAGAGAGGCUCCCGGGGGCUUCCUCUGUGCCCGAGUCCUGCGAUGACGACAGGGGAUUUCCUCAGAGCAUGUGCAGAGCGCCUCCUUCCUUUCCCCCUCCUCCGCCCCCCUCCUGACUCGAACCAGGCCCCCGAGACAAAAGUUGACCACCUUUGCUGAACUCAGAGCCAACCCUACUAUUAGGCAGAGUGGAGGAUAUUAUCCAAUCACUGGUGAUGAAGUAAGAUUCAGCUGGCAUACUGCUCGGUUUCUCCACUCUGUACAUUCAGAAGGACUAUUUGGCAGAAUCUUCCCUGGACUGAUCCAUGUUUUGCACAGUCCUCACAGUGAUCUACACUGAAGUUAAGUAGCGUUCAAGAAUAAAAUGUAUUUGUUAAACUGUGAAUAUACUAUUUAUGUCACCAAGAUCCAAAAAUGAAAUGUCAGGCUUAAGGUCAAAACAACCACCUGGGAUUACGUAAUUCUACACAGUGCUUUUUUCUGGGGGCACUCAAGGAUAGGCAGUACUGGCAUACACACACACACACACACACACGUGUUAAAAGUGUGCACUUACUGCAUAACUUGGAUACUUUUUACAGUUCAUCAAAAUCAGCUUGUGAGAUACUACUCAGAUUAGACUUCUAAUUUUUGCUGCAUUCUACAAAAAGUGAAAAGGGCACAAUAGUCCUCCAGUGGCCUCAGGUAGGUCUCUUCUAGCACCCUGGCUAUGCCCCCACCCUCCUAUCUCCUUUGAUAUUACUUUCCCCUGGAGGACUGUUUUAUUAACUGCAUUCAACCUAGUGUUCAUUUUAUUGAGCUGCCCCUCCAUAGGCAUCAUCAAUUCCAUCCCUCCGGAGCACAUUGAUCUGUCAGGACCUCUGAAUAUAUAAACCCUUAAACCAGGCAUCCCCAACCUGUGGCCCUCCAGAUGUUUUGGACUACAAUUCCCAUCAUCCCUGACCACUGGUCCUGUUAACUAGGGAUCAUGG
This is a non-coding RNA of Podarcis muralis (Common wall lizard), 1008 nucleotides long. NCBI's taxonomy places the organism in Eukaryota, Metazoa, Chordata, Lepidosauria, Squamata, Lacertidae. The record is from RefSeq and is a predicted model, not a curated record.